This 4599-nucleotide long non-coding RNA is filed under the name Homo sapiens (human). RNAcentral's name for it is "HSALNT0219924". The record is from RNAcentral. Lineage: Eukaryota; Metazoa; Chordata; Mammalia; Primates; Hominidae.
CCCAACCUGACUGCUGUGUUCUGCCCUGAGUCUGCAGAGGCUGACCCUGGCCAGGAAAGUGGUUGGAAAAGCAUUUUUGCAGAGAGGCAGCCUGAAGGUGGUGGCUCUAUGUAAGUGUGCACCCUUGGUUGGAAAGGCUGAAGGUCAGGAAUGGUAUUAGGAGAAAGUUCCCCCUUUCUCCUUUGUCCCUCCUUCCUGCCCCUGGACACAGGCUUGAGGAUCUGCAUCUGGCUGGCUCACCCUUCCUGCACAACUUUUCUAUUCAAGUUUUUCAGGGCAGGGCUUUAAGAAACACUUCAGGUUAAUUAUAGCCAGGGGUCAUUUUCUAUACAAGCGGGACAAACUUGAUGUGACUACAGGGCUGUCUCCAGGGCUGAUUCAUUCGACCUAGAAAACUGCCCCUAGGGAAACAGCCUCAGAAUCUUGCCUGCAGCUCUGGAAGUGGUAAUGGGCCCACCUGUCUCCCUGCCCAUCAUCUCACAUCUGGGGGAAUGUCUUGGCUAGCAGCAUGGCCCUGAGUGAGGGGUUUAGGUAAACAAGGUGUGACUGGGAUUGGAAGAGUCACAAACCUGUUUGUUAGAGCAAUGCUGAAGAGUUUCAGGAAAAGAAUUUCAUCAAGGCUGGCACAUCUGUCCUCAGACACUUGAAGGAUUCCCUGGAGGAAGGAGGACUGAACUUGCCCUACAAGAUCCUGCGGGGCAAAGAACUGUAAGCAGAGACAAAAUGAAAGCCCUCUAGGCCCACAAUUGAUUCUAACGGCUGUGAGGGAAUGAGCUUCAACUACUGUUGAUGGGAGGGACUGUGUGCCAGGCACUGUGCUAGGGACUCUCAUGCAUGAUCUCAUUCAUCUUCUGCAUAACCCAAUGAGGUAUGAUCUACUAUCAAGUGUCUACAUUUGUAUUGGAUUGGUAUGUGUGCCCAACAAAGAAAGUGUCAUUUUUCCUUGGGAAUGAAAUCACAUCAUUUGUGAAGACUUAGUAGAGGCUAAAUGAGUACAAGCAGCAUUUACCUUAUUAAACAGAUAUUUUCAACAUUUAAAACAGUCUGACCAUCAAUGAUGAUGUUCAAAAACAUCUCAAGAUGUUUUAGAGCUAAAGCAAAUGAGAAAAUAUAGUAAAGGGCUGAUUCCUGUGGAUAUUCUGCAAAGGAAAGUAACAUGGUGGAGUGGAAGUGGGAUAAGGUUUGAAGCCAAAAGACCUGGUGGGCUUAAGGUCUCCAUUUAUUGGUUGUGUGACCUUGGAUAAGCCACUUCACCUCCUGGUGAGACUUGGGCAAAAUGGAGAUCAUAUUAAUCACCUCACAGUUUGUUACGCAUUGAGUAAAUGCACAUGUAAGCAUUAUUGACUGUAAAUGAUUAUGCAUAUUUUAAUUAUGGUAUAUCCAAGCCUGAUUUUUCAUCCAGUGCUUACAGUGCCCUGGGCAUAAUACUCAUUCAAUAAACAUUUGUUUGAUGAUAGAGUAAUAAAUGAAUAUGUGAUGCAGAAGUUUUAAAAAUAUUUUUGCUGCUGUCUGACUCAUUUAUAGACAUUUAUAAAAUUGAGGAUUUGUAAGUUGUCCCUGGACAAUCAGAUCUCUUGAUUCAAAGGUGAAAGAUAAUCAUUCAGGUUUUCAAGUUUUUCCUGAUAUGAGACAUUAACUGGCAGGGCUGAUUAUGAGAAAUUGUCAUUAUCCUGCUCAAAUAUAAGAUCAUAGAUUUGGGAAACCUUAGAAAUAAUUACCUUCUUUUCAAAUAUGAGGAAACUGAAGCCCAGAGGCUCUAAGAAAUCAGGGACUUUAUAUAAUUUUUUCAUUUCUCUAGCUCUAGGGUAAUUGUAGAUAGAUAUACAACAAGUAUGUUUUUAAAAGUAUAUUUUUCAAGAAUUAUGCUAAGCACUGGGGAAAUAAACAUUAACAAGACAAAACCCUCCCCUUUGAGGAACUGAUAAUCUAGACAGACAUGAAAACCAGGAAGUGUGCUAUCAGUUAUAUUAAUGUUGUACAGAGUUCUAGUGGCAAGAGGGAACUGCCAAGGGAAAUCUGAGAGGAGGUGUUUACCCUGCGUAAACACCUUGCUGUUUAGCUUGGCAUCCCUAGAAGCAGACCCUGAGGACAGUGGGAAAAUGGAUUAUUAAGGAAGUGCUCCUGAGAGAAACCAGAAAGGGGGUGUAGGGAGCAAGGGAGGAUAAGGAGAAGACUCCAGUAAGGAUGAGAUUACUCAAGUCCCAUGGAAGACAGGUUAGCCUGAUCCUGCAGGGGAGCCCUGGAGGACUUAACAUCUCUGGAAAGCCAGAAAUCAGAGAUACAGAGAAGUAUUGAAAUGCUGAAAUGCUAUGAAUUUACUAUAAGAGAACAUUCUUCACUGAAGAGAUCUCUAGCUGCCAAAACACCCUUUCAUGCGUGAAAUACCGGGGCAAAGAGGAAGGAAAAGAGAAGAGUAUGACUCUAGGAACCAUGUUGCAGAAAUGCCAAAGGGUGGGACAAACAAGAGUUACUAAUGUGGAGAAAGAAGAUUAUCAUGUGUGGAACGAAGGACAAUAUGAACAUUAAAUAAUGCCCUGACUCAUUCCAAAAAGAAUCUGAGAUGACCAAUAAAGCCAUUUUUAAUUGUUUAUUAGUGAACAAUAGAUUAUGAGUGCUAAAGGGAUUCAGGAAGAAGAAAGAUCAGUGCAGAGUAGAGAAGUCUGAUGGAUGCAUUGAAGAAGCUAUGCUUGAGCUGAAAUGACAAGAGAGCUGUUUUUCGCUUUCAGAAUUAUUAUGUGGCAAUGGUAAUUGACAACAGAGAAGCUGAAGGUAUGAGGACAAGGGUGUCUUAUCUUUCCCCAGAAGUCUUGCUUGGCCCAUGGGAGAAUACAGGCCUGCACCUUGGACUUGGAGUCAGUAGAUUCCUUCCUGUGAUUUUUUACAAGCUCAAACAUCCCCUGACUGAGUCAUUCACCAGAGAAAGAGGCUUUUCAAAUGAUUUGUGCAUUAGCUAUAGUCUGCCUUAUUCAACCCCAUUUUAGUGUCACAAAAGCUUCUUCUUCCUACAUUGUUAGAGCCUUUUUGACUUUUCUGAAACGACAUCUGCUCACCUCUUGGGUAACACCCUGCAGGGCUCAGUCGAGCUCAGUCACCCUUCACUUUUUUUUUUUUUUUUUUGAGCCAGUUUUGUAAGGUGCUGAGGGAGGUUUGUAUUAGUCCUUGUUGCCCCUAGAAGAAAUAACAGCUAUAAUUUUGGCCCCGAAGAAAAGGAACAGAUAGAAGAAGAAGGCAGAGGAGUCAGUGUUGGAGUGAUGCCAUGUGAGAAAGACUCAACUGGCCAUUGCUGGCUUUGAAAAUGGAAGGAGGCAUAAGCCAAGGAAUGAAUGCAGGUGCCUCUAGAACCUGGAAAAAGCAAGGAAACAAAUUCUCCUCUAGAACCUCCAGAAGGAAUGCAUUCCUGCCAACACCUUGAUUUUUAGCUCGGUGAGACCCAUGCUGGACUUCUGACCUGCAGGAUUGCAAGAUAAGAUAUUUGACUUAUUUUAAGAUGCUAAGUUUGCAGUAAUUUGAUAUGGUAGCCAUCGGAAACUAAUACCGAUGCCAAAGCAGUAAAGCAGGAAAGCACUCCAAAAUCACAGGAGUGAGAGGAGCAGAAAUGUCCUAGGAGAAGACAAUGUUUCCUUUUGAAAAGGAAAGUUUACUGGCAACUUCCAUUUGAAUUUCUUAAUUUCUUUCCUCAGUGGCAGUCACUACUUCCAAGGUGGCAGGUUCCAGAGCUGAUUCAUUAUAUAAUCUUUUCUCAGGAGUAUUCUAGCCACCUUUAAAGAAGCUAGGGCCAUUUUCCUGACACUGCAUCAAGGGGUAAGGUUAGUGGUAAAGAAACCAUGCGGUAGGAAAGGCCAACUUUCUCCCUACAUAAUCCAAUCGCAUUAUCUCCAGACUUGCUCACCCUCUGCUCUUUGCAUACUGCAGCUCCAGAGCUUUCAUACCUACAGACUUCCUGGAGUUAAGACUAAAACAAGAGUUGUGCUACAGACUACCGUUCCUAUUAUCAUUUUUUGUGUCCUGCUGAGUCCUCCCCUCUUGGCAACUUCAGGACCACCCACUGGGAAGAUAAUAUACAACCCAUCAGGAAACUCCCAGUGCCCAUCGUGGAGGCCAAGUGCUGCCAACUCUGAUUGCUUCUGGAAUGCCAUUUCUUCCCUGCCCUUUCAAUAUUCUUGUUAUGCGACUCCUAUGAUCACUGCCAAUCUGUAGAAAAUUACAGGAUGAAUUUUUGUGAAGGACUGAAUUUGCAUACUGGUCUUUUGUUGUUUAUUGUUGGGGGGAUUUUGCUUUUUGCACACAAUUUCUGCACAUUUUAUUGGAAGUUAUUGGGUUAGAUUCAUCCCAUUCAUUCACUAGCCUGGCAUUGCUAUGCAUGUGCUGUAGGGGCUUAGCAUUAAACGAUUUUCUUUGUUCAGAUUUGGAUUGCUGUCUCUGCUUGCAAAUUAUUUUUCACAAUGACUCCUUCUUUUCCUUCUCUCUCUCUCUCUUUCUCUCUCUCUCUCUCUCACACACACACACAGACACACACACACACACACACACACACACACACACACACACACAGAUGAGGUUAGAUAUUUUUCCAUUGCCAAGUUCAGGACCCAUGAAUAC